AACGAACGCUGGCGGCGCGCCUAAUACAUGCAAGUCGAACGGCAGCACAGCAGAGCUUGCUCUGUGGGUGGCGAGUGGCGGACGGGUGAGGAAUACAUGGGAAUCUGCCCAGUCGUGGGGGAUAACGUAUGGAAACGUACGCUAAUACCGCAUGCGCCCUAAGGGGGAAAGCCGGGGACCGCAAGGCCUGGCGCGAUUGGAUGAGCCCAUGUUCGAUUAGCUAGUUGGCGGGGUAAAGGCCCACCAAGGCGACGAUCGAUAGCUGGUCUGAGAGGAUGAUCAGCCACACUGGAACUGAGACACGGUCCAGACUCCUACGGGAGGCAGCAGUAGGGAAUAUUGGACAAUGGGGGCAACCCUGAUCCAGCCAUGCCGCGUGAGUGAAGAAGGCCCUCGGGUUGUAAAGCUCUUUUGUCCGGAAAGAAAAGCAAUCGGUUAAUACCCGGUUGUUCUGACGGUACCGGAAGAAUAAGCACCGGCUAACUUCGUGCCAGC
This 495-nucleotide ribosomal RNA is filed under the name uncultured bacterium. RNAcentral describes it as "bacterial SSU rRNA". It matches the Rfam family "Bacterial small subunit ribosomal RNA", at positions 29 to 512 of the family's 1533-position model. The record is from RNAcentral.